GAUGAACGCUGGCGGCGUGCUUAACACAUGCAAGUCGAACGAAGCACUUAAAACGGAUUGGAAUAGCUUGCUAGGAAGAGAAGUUUUAUUUGACUGAGUGGCGGACGGGUGAGUAACGCGUGGGUAACCUGCCUCACACAGGGGGAUAACAGUUAGAAAUGACUGCUAAUACCGCAUAAUAUGCAGCCUCGCAUGAGACUGCUUUGAAAACUCCGGUGGUGUGAGAUGGGCCCGCGUCUGAUUAGCCAGUUGGUGGGGUAACGGCCUACCAAGGCGACGAUCAGUAGCCGGCCUGAGAGGGUGAACGGCCACAUUGGGACUGAGACACGGCCCAA
This 335-nucleotide ribosomal RNA is filed under the name uncultured bacterium. Its description in RNAcentral is "bacterial SSU rRNA". It matches the Rfam family "Bacterial small subunit ribosomal RNA", at positions 28 to 334 of the family's 1533-position model. The record is from RNAcentral.